AUGAUACUGGUAUAUGAACCUCAGAAUCUUUGGUGCCUGCAGUCCAACUGGAUACUUACAAAUGACCUGCCACAGUCACUGCAAGGGAGAUACAGGAACUUUAACAGAUCUCAGAAAUACCUGAAAGUAAGACAACAGCUCUUAAACUCUAUUGGAGUUAGUCCAUCUGCAACUGAACACAAUAUGCUAUGGAUGCCAAAAAAGGCAAAAAAUCCCAACCUAAACCAGAGGUCCUAAAGUGCUGACAAAAAUUUGAAAUGCUUUCUGUUGAAGAGAACACAGAGGAAACAGCUUCCACCUUUAUGGAUGAAUACAAUGACCCUGGAAUAAUGAUAAGAAGGCAUAGAAAAUCUCUUCUCUAGUCACCAAAUGUUAAAUGGCUAUCUUUGCUCUGCUUUGUGCUGAAUUUGGCAUGCAAUAUGUGUCAAACUUAAAACUACAUAGAAUAACUUGAAAGAACGCUGUAUUUUGCAUCAAUAUGGUAUGUGCUCUUUUUCUCUUUACAUAGACCUCACACCACAGACAAGACAUAACUUCACUUCUAUUUUGGCAUAUCUGCUGUAUGCAGCAUCCAAGGUUUCUCUUUUGAAUAGUUUUACUAGAUCUGAUCUGAACGUAUGAGAUUGGUGCUCCACUGCAUCAAAGAUACUGUUGUAGCUGUCAGUGAGGCACACUGCUCUGACUAGCUUACAGUCUAACUUGGUAAGAAAGGAGAACAUCAUAUCUAAUACAG
Molecule: long non-coding RNA, 733 nt
Filed under: Anas platyrhynchos platyrhynchos (common mallard)
Lineage: Eukaryota; Metazoa; Chordata; Aves; Anseriformes; Anatidae
Description: lncRNA (ENSAPLG00000022107.1)
Source: RNAcentral